RNAcentral lists this ribosomal RNA (383 nucleotides) under uncultured bacterium. RNAcentral's name for it is "bacterial SSU rRNA". It matches the Rfam family "Bacterial small subunit ribosomal RNA", at positions 29 to 417 of the family's 1533-position model. The record is from RNAcentral.
AUUGAACGCUGGCGGCGUGCCUAACACAUGCAAGUCGCACGCGAAAGGGAGCAAUCCCGAGUAGAGUGGCGGACGGGUGAGUAACGCGUAGGAAUCUACCUAGUAGUGGGGGACAACCCGGCGAAAGCCGGGCUAAUACCGCAUACGACCUAAGGGUGAAAGCCGGGGAUCGCAAGACCUGGCGCUAUUAGAUGAGCCUGCGUCCGAUUAGCUAGUUGGUGAGGUAACGGCUCACCAAGGCUUCGACGGGUAGCUGGUCUGAGAGGACGAUCAGCCACACUGGCACUGCGACACGGGCCAGACUCCUACGGGAGGCAGCAGUAAGGAAUAUUGCGCAAUGGGCGAAAGCCUGACGCAGCGACGCCGCGUGGGGAUGAAGGUCU